RNAcentral lists this ribosomal RNA (1504 nucleotides) under uncultured bacterium. RNAcentral's name for it is "partial 16S ribosomal RNA". It matches the Rfam family "Bacterial small subunit ribosomal RNA". The record is from RNAcentral.
AGAGUUUGAUCCUGGCUCAGAUUGAACGCUGGCGGUAUGCUUAACACAUGCAAGUCGAACGGAAACGAAACUAGCUUGCUAGUAGGCGUCGAGUGGCGGACGGGUGAGUAACGCGUAGGAAUCUGCCUGAUAGUGGGGGAUAGCCCGAAGAAAUUCGGAUUAAUACCGCAUAAUCUAUUCGUAGUAAAGUGGGGGACUUUCGAGCCUCACGCUAUCAGAUGAGCCUGCGUAAGAUUAGCUUGUUGGUAGGGUAAAAGCCUACCAAGGCAACGAUCUUUAGCUGGUCUGAGAGGAUGAUCAGCCACAUCGGGACUGAGACACGGCCCGAACUCCUACGGGAGGCAGCAGUGGGGAAUAUUGGACAAUGGGGGUAACCCUGAUCCAGCAAUACCGCGUGUGUGAAGAAGGCCUGAGGGUUGUAAAGCACUUUCAAUUGUGAAGAAAAGUUAACGGUUAAUAACCGUUGACCUUGACGUUAACUUUAGAAGAAGCACCGGCUAACUCCGUGCCAGCAGCCGCGGUAAUACGGAGGGUGCAAGCGUUAAUCGGAAUUACUGGGCGUAAAGCGUGCGUAGGCGGUUUAUUAAGUCAGAUGUGAAAGCCCCGGGCUUAACCUGGGAACUGCAUUUGAAACUGGUCAACUAGAGUAUGGUAGAGGAAAGUGGAAUUUCUGGUGUAGCGGUGAAAUGCGUAGAUAUCAGAAGGAACAUCAAUGGCGAAGGCAGCUUUCUGGACCAAUACUGACGCUGAGGUACGAAAGCGUGGGUAGCAAACAGGAUUAGAUACCCUGGUAGUACACGCCGUAAACGAUGAUAACUAGCCGUUGGGGGGAUUUACCCUUUAGUGGCGAAGCUAACGCGUUAAGUUAUCCGCCUGGGGAGUACGGCCGCAAGGCUAAAACUCAAAGGAAUUGACGGGGACCCGCACAAGCGGUGGAGCAUGUGGUUUAAUUCGAUGCAACGCGAAGAACCUUACCUGGGCUUGACAUCCCCGGACCGCCCUAGAGACAGGGUUUCCCCUUCGGGGGCCGGGUGACAGGUGCUGCAUGGCUGUCGUCAGCUCGUGUCGUGAGAUGUUGGGUUAAGUCCCGCAACGAGCGCAACCCCCGCCCUCAGUUGCCAGCGGUUUGGCCGGGCACUCUGGGGGGACUGCCGGUGACAAGCCGGAGGAAGGCGGGGACGACGUCAAGUCAUCAUGGCCCUUAUGCCCAGGGCUACACACGUGUUACAAUGGGGGCGACAGUGGGCCGCGAAGCCGCGAGGUGGAGCGAAUCCCCAAAAGCCCCCCCAGUUCGGAUCGCAGUCUGCAACUCGACUGCGUGAAGCCGGAAUCGCUAGUAAUCGCGGAUCAGCACGCCGCGGUGAAUCCGUUCCCGGGCCUUGUACACACCGCCCGUCACACCAUGGGAGUCGGCGGGGGCGGAAGCCGCCGGGCCAACCUCUUCGGAGGGGGCAGGCGUCCAAGCUCACGUCGGCGACUGGGGUGAAGUCGUAACAAGGUAACC